This 814-nucleotide ribosomal RNA is filed under the name Streptomyces sp. RNAcentral's name for it is "bacterial SSU rRNA". It matches the Rfam family "Bacterial small subunit ribosomal RNA", at positions 90 to 917 of the family's 1533-position model. The record is from RNAcentral. Lineage: Bacteria; Bacillati; Actinomycetota; Actinomycetes; Kitasatosporales; Streptomycetaceae.
GAUUAGUGGCGACGGGUGAGUAACACGUGGGCAAUCUGCCCUUCACUCUGGGACAAGCCCUGGAAACGGGGUCUAAUACCGGAUAACACUCCUCCUCUCCUGAGGAGGAGUUAAAAGCUCCGGCGGUGAAGGAUGAGCCCGCGGCCUAUCAGCUAGUUGGUGAGGUAAUGGCUCACCAAGGCGACGACGGGUAGCCGGCCUGAGAGGGCGACCGGCCACACUGGGACUGAGACACGGCCCAGACUCCUACGGGAGGCAGCAGUGGGGAAUAUUGCACAAUGGGCGAAAGCCUGAUGCAGCGACGCCGCGUGAGGGAUGACGGCCUUCGGGUUGUAAACCUCUUUCAGCAGGGAAGAAGCGAAAGUGACGGUACCUGCAGAAGAAGCGCCGGCUAACUACGUGCCAGCAGCCGCGGUAAUACGUAGGGCGCAAGCGUUGUCCGGAAUUAUUGGGCGUAAAGAGCUCGUAGGCGGCUUGUCACGUCGGGUGUGAAAGCCCGGGGCUUAACCCCGGGUCUGCAUUCGAUACGGGCUAGCUAGAGUGUGGUAGGGGAGAUCGGAAUUCCUGGUGUAGCGGUGAAAUGCGCAGAUAUCAGGAGGAACACCGGUGGCGAAGGCGGAUCUCUGGGCCAUUACUGACGCUGAGGAGCGAAAGCGUGGGGAGCGAACAGGAUUAGAUACCCUGGUAGUCCACGCCGUAAACGGUGGGAACUAGGUGUUGGCGACAUUCCACGUCGUCGGUGCCGCAGCUAACGCAUUAAGUUCCCCGCCUGGGGAGUACGGCCGCAAGGCUAAAACUCAAAGGAAUUGACGGG